AUGCACGCUGGCGGCGUGCCUAAUCCCUGCAAGUCGAGCGCACAGACGAGGAGCUUGCUCCUCUGACGUUAGCGGCGGACGGGUGAGUAACACGUGGAUAACCUACCUAUAAGACUGGGAUAACUUCGGGAAACCGGAGCUAAUACCGGAUAAUAUAUUGAACCGCAUGGUUCAAUAGUGAAAGACGGUUUUGCUGUCACUUAUAGAUGGAUCCGCGCCGCAUUAGCUAGUUGGUAAGGUAACGGCUUACCAAGGCAACGAUGCGUAGCCGACCUGAGAGGGUGAUCGGCCACACUGGAACUGAGACACGGUCCAGACUCCUACGGGAGGCAGCAGUAGGGAAUCUUCCGAAAUGGGCGGAAGCCUGACGGAGCAACGCCGCGUGAGUGAUGAAGGUCUUCGGAUCGUAAAACUCUGUUAUUAGGGAAGAACAAAUGUGUAAGUAACUAUGCACGUCUUGACGGUACCUAAUCAGAAAGCCACGGCUAACUACGUG
This 496-nucleotide ribosomal RNA is filed under the name uncultured bacterium. RNAcentral's name for it is "partial 16S ribosomal RNA". It matches the Rfam family "Bacterial small subunit ribosomal RNA", at positions 29 to 507 of the family's 1533-position model. The record is from RNAcentral.